UAAUUAAAAUAAACACACGUCUCGAAUUAAAAUUAAAAAUUAAACAAUUUUGUCAUCCGUCCAACACAUGAGAAAAAUUAGCCUAACAUACGAUUGGAAUUAAACACAUAAAAGUGGAAGGAGGUCACCGAAAAUCGACGGGAGGUGAUUAAAUUCCAAAAUUAUUCCCAGCCUUUGCACGUGUAUAUGUCAACUUCCAGUUAGCGAGUAAAUCUCCAAGUUGGCCUUCCUUUUAUGUUUAUAAUAUCCCCACAAUUGGCUCCAAUACAAAGCAAAUGUUUUGUCACACUUGCAGCCACCAAUUUAGUGCAUAAACUAAUCAAUUCAUCCCAAGCAGCCAGCUCCCACGUUUUCUGCUCUAAUUCUGCUUCUCUAAUUGAUGUAUAUAUUAAUUCCAGCCACAAUAUUUGACUGCCAAAACAAUGCCCAAAUGUUGCUCAAUUUCUUACUACAAGCAGCCGGUUUUGUUGACCAAUUUCCUUCCAAUUUUCCCCCAGCACCUUUGCCGUGUAUAUAUAAUUAUAUAAUUCACCAAUAGCAGCCUCCCUUUUCUAUUUCUCUCCCAGGCAGCUGUCCUUUUUUUUUUUUUGUAUAUAAAUUCUUCUUUUUGGCUUCUCUUAUUGACUCAAAAAGGGAUUAAUUUUCUCUUCAACUUGACUGCCGUUUUAUGAUCUAAUCCCAGGCAGCCGGCAGUCCCUUUUUUUUUUCUCCCUUCCAACCGUCUGUCUUCUUUAGGUUUUCUUCCUCCUCAUUUCUUUCG
Molecule: long non-coding RNA, 760 nt
Filed under: Olea europaea subsp. europaea
Lineage: Eukaryota; Viridiplantae; Streptophyta; Magnoliopsida; Lamiales; Oleaceae
Source: RNAcentral